GCUGGGCGCUGUGGCGCGUGCCUGUAGUCCCAGCUACUCGGGAGACUGAGGUGGGAGGAUCGCUUGAGCCCAGGAGCUCUGGGCUGCAGUGCGCUAUGCUGAUCGGGUGUCUGCACUAAAUUUGGCAUCAAUAUGGUGACCUCCUGGGAGCGGUGGACCACCAGGUUGCCUAAGGAGGGGUGAACGGGCCUAGGUCGAAAACGGAGCAGGUCAAAAAUCCCGUGCUGAUCAGUAGUGGGAUCGCGCCUGCCACUGCACUCCAGCCUGGGCAACAUAGCGAGACCCUGUCUCU
RNAcentral lists this signal recognition particle RNA (292 nucleotides) under Saimiri boliviensis boliviensis (Bolivian squirrel monkey). RNAcentral describes it as "Metazoan signal recognition particle RNA (ENSSBOG00000002566.1)". It matches the Rfam family "Metazoan signal recognition particle RNA". Rfam says of the family: The signal recognition particle (SRP) is a universally conserved ribonucleoprotein. It is involved in the co-translational targeting of proteins to membranes. The record is from RNAcentral. Lineage: Eukaryota; Metazoa; Chordata; Mammalia; Primates; Cebidae.